AUUGAACGCUGGCGGCAUGCCUUACACAUGCAAGUCGAACGGCAGCAUGGAGAGCUUGCUCUCUGAUGGCGAGUGGCGAACGGGUGAGUAAAGCAUCGGAACGUACCGUGUAGUGGGGGAUAACGUAGCGAAAGUUACGCUAAUACCGCAUACGCACUGAGGUGGAAAGCAGGGGAUCGUAAGACCUUGCGCUAUACGAGCGGCCGAUGUCAGAUUAGCUAGUUGGUAGUGUAAAGGCCUACCAAGGCGACGACCUGUAGCGGGUCUGAGAGGAGGACCGGCAGCGUGGGGACUGAGACACGGCCCAGCAUCCUACGGGAGGCAGUAGUGGGUAAUUUUGGACAAUGGGGACAACCCUGAUCCAGCCGUGCCGCGUGAGUGAAGAAGGCCUUCGGGUUGUAGAGCUCUUUCGGCCGGGAAGAAAUCGCACAGGCUAAUACCCUGUGUGGAUGACGGUACCGGCAUAGGAAGCACCGGCUAACUACGUGCCAGCAGCCGCAGUAA
This 504-nucleotide ribosomal RNA is filed under the name uncultured bacterium. RNAcentral's name for it is "partial 16S ribosomal RNA". It matches the Rfam family "Bacterial small subunit ribosomal RNA", at positions 29 to 523 of the family's 1533-position model. The record is from RNAcentral.